This is a long non-coding RNA of Thunnus maccoyii (southern bluefin tuna), 1182 nucleotides long. RefSeq lists it as uncharacterized. The transcript is spliced from 3 exons. The record is from RefSeq and is a predicted model, not a curated record. Lineage: Eukaryota; Metazoa; Chordata; Actinopteri; Scombriformes; Scombridae.
AGUAAAUCAAACAAGACGCAAAGAGAACCAGAGGCAAUAAAAAACGUCAGGCUGCUUGAUAUCAGAUCUCGGAGGAGAAAUUUGAUGGGCACCAAUGAGCAGAAGGCAUCUCAGGAGAAUUGGACAGAGGAGAGAUUUAAUGUGAUCAUAGGGGACGCUCAUCUUUCAGGGAACGGGGUAAUAAUGAGCAAUCAAUAACGUCCUUAACAGAGUUAGAGCGAGUGGCUGACAGCAGAUGUAAGGCUCUGGCUAACAGGCUACGUGUGAUCUCACAUUACCACACUGGAUCUGGGUUUAACAUGCACACACAUGCACACACGCACACGCAUGUACACACACAGGCAGGCAUAGUGCGUGUACGUGCAUGCAUGAACACUAGCAUAUGGACACAUACGCUCCCUUUCUUUUCUGUGUGCCUGUUUUCUCACACACACACAGACACACACACACACACUCUCUCUCUCCUCAGGUGACAUCCACCAGCAUCGUGUCAUUGUCUAUCGAUCAAUAGCUGUAAUCACAUUCACAGGCGAUGAACAUGGUAGUAGGUUGUGUACUGUGAACACAGGCUUCUCAGUUUAUCCUGCGACUACUGAUUUCACGGGCUAAAAUGACAAGCGCACUGGCAGACGCUAUCAUCUGUACAUGCAAGACUUGUUUUCCAGACUGUGCUGUGAGCAGGAGGACAGAGAUCCAGAAUUAGGCCUCUGAGGAGGAAGAGGAGGAGGAGCCGUCAGAUUACAGAUUAGAAGGCUAUCAUGUUGCAGCCCGGAGACAGAUCAAUACCAUUUGCUCAACACACAGGAGGCCUGGGAAUCUAUAAAAGGGCUUUUAUUGAGUAAUUAAACACCCAUUACUGUCCCGUGCAGCCAAACAAUAAAUUUGAUCAGCCUCUCAGGCGCAGAUCCAGUCGUGAUUAAUACUCAGUGCAUGCAUGACAUAAAAGACCACAAUGACAUUUUGCUAAGUCGUGUCUUAGACCCUUUCGACGGUGCGGGGACAAGAGUUCGGCUGCUUACAGCGGCAGUUUCAAGGUUGUUUAGUGCGGCCGGUAUCUUCGGAGAGCUCCGUGUGCACAGAGGGGGAUUUUGCGGGGCUCAGCAGCAACAUACCGUCCGCUCCUGCUGGCCUGGGAUCGAAUCCCACUAGUACCUGCUGUCCUGAGGCAGCCACACCAAGUGG